Molecule: ribosomal RNA, 211 nt
Filed under: uncultured bacterium
Lineage: Bacteria
Description: partial 16S ribosomal RNA
Rfam family: Bacterial small subunit ribosomal RNA
Source: RNAcentral
UACGGAGGGUGCAAGCGUUAACCGGAAUUACUGGGCGUAAAGCGCACGCAGGCGGUUUGUUAAGUUAGAUGUGAAAUACUCGGGCUCAACCUGGGAACUGCAUUUGAAACUGGUAAGCUAGAGUAUAGUAGAGGGGAGUGGAAUUCCCAGUGUAGCGGUGAAAUGCGUAGAGAUUUGGAGGAAUACCAGUGGCGAAAGCGGCCUCCUGGAC